CCUACGGGACGCAGCAGUGGGGAAUAUUGCGCAAUGGGGGGAACCCUGACGCAGCAACGCCGCGUGCAGGAAGAAGGUCUUCGGAUUGUAAACUGUUGUCGCAGGGGAAGAAGACAGUGACGGUACCCUGUGAGAAAGUCACGGCUAACUACGUGCCAGCAGCCGCGGUAAUACGUAGGUGACAAGCGUUGUCCGGAUUUACUGGGUGUAAAGGGCGCGUAGGCGGAUGUGCAAGUCAGUCGUGAAAUACCGGGGCUCAACCCCGGGGCUGCGAUUGAAACUGCACACCUUGAGUAUCGGAGAGG
RNAcentral lists this ribosomal RNA (305 nucleotides) under uncultured bacterium. Its description in RNAcentral is "bacterial SSU rRNA". It matches the Rfam family "Bacterial small subunit ribosomal RNA", at positions 338 to 657 of the family's 1533-position model. The record is from RNAcentral.